This 384-nucleotide ribosomal RNA is filed under the name Triticum aestivum (bread wheat). Its description in RNAcentral is "partial small subunit ribosomal RNA". Lineage: Eukaryota; Viridiplantae; Streptophyta; Magnoliopsida; Poales; Poaceae. The record is from RNAcentral.
AUGAGAUCCGAUCUUGAUGAAUUCAUGGAGCAGUUGAAUCUAGAGGAUGAAGUCUUUGAUGAUCUGGUAAUCGAUGAGAACGACCAGGAGAUCAAUGAGAGCGUCAGAUGGCUAGCCCUAGCUAGGGUUCAUAUGGACAAAACCUUCAGCCCGACGACCUUCUAUAAGGAGAUGCGGGCGGCAUGGAAUCCAGCACAACAUGUGAAUUUUCGCCCGGUUGGCCCGAACUUGUUCGUUGUUCAGGCUGCGUGCCUCGGCGAUUGGGAACGGAUGAUCGAACAAGGCCCAUGGCUAUUUAGGAACUUCUUGGUGCUGAUGUGCCCCUAUGAUGGUUUUACGAAGGCAGAGGAGGUGCCUAUGGUGUAUAUGCCUGUUUGGCUCUAG